RNAcentral lists this ribosomal RNA (642 nucleotides) under uncultured bacterium. RNAcentral's name for it is "bacterial SSU rRNA". It matches the Rfam family "Bacterial small subunit ribosomal RNA", at positions 232 to 872 of the family's 1533-position model. The record is from RNAcentral.
CGCGGCCUAUCAGCUUGUUGGUGGGGUGACGGCCUACCAAGGCGACGACGGGUAGCCGGCCUGAGAGGGUGUCCGGCCACACUGGGACUGAGAUACGGCCCAGACUCCUACGGGAGGCAGCAGUGGGGAAUAUUGCACAAUGGGCGCAAGCCUGAUGCAGCGACGCCGCGUGGGGGAUGACGGCCUUCGGGUUGUAAACCUCUUUCACCAUCGACGAAGGUCCGGGGUUUCUCGGAUUGACGGUAGGUGGAGAAGAAGCACCGGCCAACUACGUGCCAGCAGCCGCGGUAAUACGUAGGGUGCGAGCGUUGUCCGGAAUUACUGGGCGUAAAGAGCUCGUAGGUGGUUUGUCGCGUUGUUCGUGAAAUCUCACGGCUUAACUGUGAGCGUGCGGGCGAUACGGGCAGACUGGAGUACUGCAGGGGAGACUGGAAUUCCUGGUGUAGCGGUGGAAUGCGCAGAUAUCAGGAGGAACACCGGUGGCGAAGGCGGGUCUCAGGGCAGUAACUGACGCUGAGGAGCGAAAGCGUGGGGAGCGAACAGGAUUAGAUACCCUGGUAGUCCACGCCGUAAACGGUGGGUACUAGGUGUGGGUUUCCUUCCUUGGGAUCCGUGCCGUAGCUAACGCAUUAAGUACCCCGC